CAACCCUCGAACCCCUCCGGGGGGUCGGCGUUGGGGAUCGGCCCUUUCACCGGGUGCCGGCCCCUAAAUACAGUGGCGGUCUCGCCGCAGCCUCUCAUGCGCAGUAGUUUGCACACUCGCACCGGGAGCGCGGCGCGUCCACGUCCGUAAAACACCCCAACUUCUGAAA
Molecule: unclassified non-coding RNA, 169 nt
Filed under: Trichoderma virens
Lineage: Eukaryota; Fungi; Ascomycota; Sordariomycetes; Hypocreales; Hypocreaceae
Also listed under: 2 other names
Description: partial internal transcribed spacer 2
Source: RNAcentral